UGGGGAAUAUUGGACAAUGGGCGAGAGCCUGAUCCAGCCAUGCCGCGUGCAGGAAGAAGGCGUCAUGCGUUGUAAACUGCUUUUGCCAGGGGAUAAAAAGACCGUGCGCGGUUAAUUGAAGGUACCUGGUGAAUAAGCCACGGCUAACUACGUGCCAGCAGCCGCGGUAAUACGUAGGUGGCAAGCGUUGUCCGGAUUUAUUGGGUUUAAAGGGUGCGUAGGUGGCCCUGUAAGUCAGUGGUGAAAUAUCUCAGCUUAACUGAGAGGGUGCCAUUGAUACUGCAGGGCUUGAGUACAGAUGAGGUAGGCGGAAUUGACGGUGUAGCGGUGAAAUGCGUAGAUAUCGGAAGGAACAUCAGUUGCGAAGGCGGCUCUCUGGACUCAAACUGACGCUGAGGCACGAAAGCGUGGGUAGCGAACAGGAUUAGAUACCCCCGUAGUCCCUGAGCGGGCUGGCAAGGCGCAU
This 466-nucleotide ribosomal RNA is filed under the name uncultured bacterium. RNAcentral's name for it is "bacterial SSU rRNA". It matches the Rfam family "Bacterial small subunit ribosomal RNA", at positions 355 to 825 of the family's 1533-position model. The record is from RNAcentral.